This 468-nucleotide ribosomal RNA is filed under the name uncultured bacterium. RNAcentral describes it as "partial 16S ribosomal RNA". It matches the Rfam family "Bacterial small subunit ribosomal RNA", at positions 28 to 507 of the family's 1533-position model. The record is from RNAcentral.
GACGAACGCUGGCGGCGUGCUUAACACAUGCAAGUCGAACGGAAAGGCCCUGCUUUUGUGGGGUGCUCGAGUGGCGAACGGGUGAGUAACACGUGAGUAACCUGCCCUUGACUUUGGGAUAACUUCAGGAAACUGGGGCUAAUACCGGAUAGGAGCUCCUGCUGCAUGGUGGGGGUUGGAAAGUUUCGGCGGUUGGGGAUGGACUCGCGGCUUAUCAGCUUGUUGGUGGGGUAGUGGCUUACCAAGGCUUUGACGGGUAGCCGGCCUGAGAGGGUGACCGGCCACAUUGGGACUGAGAUACGGCCCAGACUCCUACGGGAGGCAGCAGGGGGGAAUAUUGCACAGUGGGCGGAAGCCUGAGGCAGCAACGCCGCGUGCGGGAUGACGGCCUUCGGGUUGUAAACCGCUUUCGCCUGUGACGAAGCGGGAGUGACGGUAAUGGGUAAAGAAGCACCGGCUAACUACGUG